GCGGGGGUGUCUAAGGAUUUUUUUAUUCAGUUUUUGGAGAGAAAAAAAUAUUUUGUUUUGUUUUUGACCCUGAGAAAAAAGUUUGUUUCACCUGCAACUGUCACGGUAUCCAUGUACAUGUAAACUUAUUAUUUAACGUUAUGCUUAAAUUGAAAGAAAAAAAAUGUUUUGACUUUGAAAUUAAUAAUGGACAAUAACCACAGAUGCUUAGCCCCAUAAAGCAUAACCUCUAGUGGCAGAUCCAGGUACCCCCCACCCCCCUUCUAAAAAGUUCAGUAUCUGCCACUGAUCUUUUUUUUUAAAUACAGAUAGUCUUUGUUUCUUU
Molecule: long non-coding RNA, 325 nt
Filed under: Mytilus galloprovincialis (Mediterranean mussel)
Lineage: Eukaryota; Metazoa; Mollusca; Bivalvia; Mytilida; Mytilidae
Source: RNAcentral